AGUGGCGGAGGGGCAGGUCCCUCAGUCCGGAUUGUGAGAGGGCGCAGGCCAGGCUGAGGUACCCCACUGGUGCACU
Molecule: microRNA precursor, 76 nt
Filed under: Myotis brandtii (Brandt's bat)
Lineage: Eukaryota; Metazoa; Chordata; Mammalia; Chiroptera; Vespertilionidae
Description: mir-9193 microRNA precursor family
Rfam family: mir-9193 microRNA precursor family
Source: Rfam by way of RNAcentral